CGCAUACUCUUUUCCGCAUUCUUUCUCAUGGCCAAAAGCAAAUAUUUAUUCCCCGCAUAUUUUUCCUUUUCUUUCAGGCUCCAGUUUUGAAACCUGUGGAUUCACCCGGCCAAGCAUUGCUCGACCAGCAUGAAUUGGGUCGGUUUGUUUCCCUCUGGUUUCUAGAGGGUGCUUCUGAAAACCGAGUUGUACCGGGUGGGGGUGGGGGUGAGGGGGGGGAAGGGAAUGCAGCUCUCUGGGGCAGCGCUGUUUUACAUAUGGGUUAGACACGUGCUUCUGAAAACCGAGUUGUACCGGGUGGGGGUGGGGGUGAGGGGGGGGAAGGGAAUGCAGCUCUAUGGGGCAGCGCUGUUUUACAUAUGGGUUAGACACGGCUAGAGGCCAAGGUCAAGUUGAAAGUUGCAGUCUAGCCAGUGUGAGAACUGUCAUUCACAGUUCGAAGAUCUGUCUAAUUUGUUAAAAAGCGAGUAGCCAUGAGAACACUAACUUCCCCAGCUCGCAUCUCCUCC
Non-coding RNA from Calypte anna (Anna's hummingbird), 509 nucleotides. NCBI's taxonomy places the organism in Eukaryota, Metazoa, Chordata, Aves, Apodiformes, Trochilidae. The record is from Rfam.